This 251-nucleotide ribosomal RNA is filed under the name Stenotrophomonas rhizophila. Its description in RNAcentral is "partial 16S ribosomal RNA". It matches the Rfam family "Bacterial small subunit ribosomal RNA", at positions 570 to 820 of the family's 1533-position model. Lineage: Bacteria; Pseudomonadati; Pseudomonadota; Gammaproteobacteria; Lysobacterales; Lysobacteraceae. The record is from RNAcentral.
CGUAGGUGGUGGUUUAAGUCUGUUGUGAAAGCCCUGGGCUCAACCUGGGAAUUGCAGUGGAUACUGGGCAACUAGAGUGUGGUAGAGGGUAGYGGAAUUCCCGGUGUAGCAGUGAAAUGCGUAGAGAUCGGGAGGAACAUCCAUGGCGAAGGCAGCUACCUGGACCAACACUGACACUGAGGCACGAAAGCGUGGGGAGCAAACAGGAUUAGAUACCCUGGUAGUCCACGCCCUAAACGAUGCGAACUGGA